GGCUGCAGCUCAGUGGUAGAGCACUUGCCUAGCAUGUAUGAGGCCCUGGGUUUGACCCUCAGCACCA
Molecule: transfer RNA, 67 nt
Filed under: Marmota monax (woodchuck)
Lineage: Eukaryota; Metazoa; Chordata; Mammalia; Rodentia; Sciuridae
Description: tRNA.Ala
Rfam family: tRNA
About the family: Transfer RNA (tRNA) molecules are approximately 80 nucleotides in length. Their secondary structure includes four short double-helical elements and three loops (D, anti-codon, and T loops). Further hydrogen bonds mediate the characteristic L-shaped molecular structure. tRNAs have two regions of fundamental functional importance: the anti-codon, which is responsible for specific mRNA codon recognition, and the 3' end, to which the tRNAs corresponding amino acid is attached (by aminoacyl-tRNA synthetases). tRNAs cope with the degeneracy of the genetic code in two manners: having more than one tRNA (with a specific anti-codon) for a particular amino acid; and 'wobble' base-pairing, i.e. permitting non-standard base-pairing at the 3rd anti-codon position.
Source: RNAcentral